Non-coding RNA from Megalopta genalis, 568 nucleotides. The record is from RefSeq and is a predicted model, not a curated record. NCBI's taxonomy places the organism in Eukaryota, Metazoa, Arthropoda, Insecta, Hymenoptera, Halictidae.
UGGAGAAGUACGGCGAAGUUAAGACAGAUGCUGCGAGCGGGUACGAAAGUAACAGACUCGGCAAUGCCAGAACGACCGUGAACAGGGACGUCAACGGCAGUAAGAAGGACGGCGUGCGGCUUUCGGCCGAGUUGCAGAGAUCACCGGUGCAUGAGCAGUAGUGUGCCUGUACGUCGUGAGUGCCCGAUCUCUUCACGCAUUCCGCGUUGUCCCUCUCGUCCGUGAUGUAUCCGCAGCCUCUGACUACCCUGAUUUUCCCGUACACUGAAACCACAGAAACAUUCGAAUCAUUCCGUCAGGAGCUCCUCGCUUCGUUUACUAGGUCUGAUCACAAGAUUUCGCUCGAUUGUACUAUCCAAACGGGUCGAAGUCGACCUUGAACUUGAACAGUCCAAAUAUUUUGCUACUUCCCUGUUACGGGACUAUUUUCAAUGGUUUGCGUACUAAUUUCAUGCACGAGUGCGCGUAUGACCGAUGAAACGUUUCCGUCUCCGCCGUCGCGCCGGAUCAAUUAUGCAUAUCGGUAACGAGUUCGAUUGCGAGAAUAGAGUGGCGCCGAACCGAGGCG